Non-coding RNA from Macaca mulatta (Rhesus monkey), 3696 nucleotides. NCBI's taxonomy places the organism in Eukaryota, Metazoa, Chordata, Mammalia, Primates, Cercopithecidae. The record is from RefSeq and is a predicted model, not a curated record.
CUCGUGAUCCACCCGCCUCGGCCUCCCAAAGUCCUGGGAUUACAGGCGUGAGCCACUGCGCCCAGCCUAUCUUUUUUUAAUUUGUAAUUUUUAUUUCAAGAAUAGGGAAGAUAAGACUGGGAAAUACAUUGAUGGCAGAGAACUAGGGUUGGUGAUCCUCAGGAGAUGUCUUGUAUGGACUUGAGAGAGCUGAUUAUUGAAUGUUCCAGGAUUUGGCCAACUGUUAAACUAUUAAUAGCUUAAAAUUGGCCAUGAUGGGAGUAUUUACACCAUGGAAAUAAGCAAAUGCUUCAAAUCAGGGCUUCUCCCUCACCAAAUUUUCCAAAUUUAUCUGCUUACUGCUUGUUACAGUUCUUAACCCCAAGCUUUUUUUUUCCCUUGGUUUUGUUUUGGUUUUAUUGUUUUAAACUGAGUGCAUUUACAUAAGCAGGCAAGCUCCUUGGUGCCAUAGCCCCUUCACCCAGUUAAUUUUGUCCUUACCCCCAGCCUGGUUCCCACAUGUAUACAGACACCUCUGCCACAAGCCCAGCCCUCUUAGGAAUUUGUGUUUAUCUCUGUGGUUCUGGUUUUCUCUUGUGUGUGAGGGCUGGAACACCUCUUAUGAAUGGUCCAUGACUUUCACUCCUUCCAUUGAUAAGGUUUGCUGUGAAUGUUUUGGUGAAAUCUUUCAAGAACCAUGGCCAUCCCCCUUCUUUUAAAGCCAAAGCAGCACCAGUGCCUGGCAUGGGUUAUGCAGAUGGUUGGCAUCAUCCCCUGCUAGGAUUUACUAUUAUUUGGAAAUUAAUGAUGGCAUCAUCUUUUCAGGAGUGGGGAGGGGAGCUGUGAUUGACGAACCUCUCUUUGACCAUCUGUUCCUUUGCUUCAAGGCGCUGCUUUUCAUAGCCUUAGAAUUUGAGAGAAAUGAUGUUAAGUGAUCACAAAUGUUCUUUAAAGUUUUACUUUAAAGGAAAACAAAAGAAAGCUUUUCAACAAGACGACUAGCUUUUUUUCUGGGGGUCAGUUUACUACAGAUUAUAAGCCAGAAAAUAAAAAAGGUAAAAUGAGAUUUUUGGUUGGAUUUGUUUUUAAUUAAGACCUAAAUCAUGAUUCUCUUAGAAUGGAAUAGAAAGUGAGAGUAGCUCUGAGACCUACUUGAUCAAUUUUGCAGUAUCCCAGCUGCCAGCAGGGAAAUGAGAGGAGGUAGGUGUAGCCAGAAGAAUUCCUUUAUAUCCAGUUGACAAUCACCAGCACCAGUGCAAGUCAGGACAUCUUACUAUUUCUAACCUCCCACCUCCAGAAACAAAGCUGAUUAUAUUUGUCUGUUCCUUCCAGUAGGAAAUUUUAUGAAUUUUGUCCUCAAAAGCUUUCUGAAAAUCCACCUCUCCUCCUAACCAAUUCGAAGGCCUAAAUGCCUUGAAUUUGAGCAAUGCAAAUACAUGAAAAUACAGUUUUAUCCAUGAAGUUAAAGAGGAUACCAGUGAUUCACUUUACACUAGGAUUCUUACAGGAUUUCUUUAAGUAAUAAAUCCCUAUAAUGAAUUCAAAAUGACAUCUGUUGUUCAGGAAUUAAAUGUACACUCCACUUUUCAGGAACAUGUUUAUUUUACCAAACAGGAUACAUACCUGUAUUUAGCAUCCUCUACUUGGGAAGAUUUUCUUAUGUGUAAAUUUUCUGUAUUUAUUUAAAGGCUAUUUUAGCAGAUUAUUUCUUAAGUAGAUAUGGAAAAUCAUUUAUGUUUUUCAGCACUUGUAUCCUUUCUCUUUUGAGAACAUCAGGUACGUGGAGUUGAUUUCAUCAAGUCCCUUGGUUGCUGGCUCACUGUUCUCACUGGGCCAUGCAGGCUCCCUCUCUCGUGCUACUAAGACCCCCUCCUCCUCCCAUCCCCUCCUGCCUCAAUAGGAAACUAGAACCAAGAAAUAUGAUGGGGCAUGCCAUGGGGUUAAGAAUUGCAGUUUUACAUAGGACGGCCUACUUCCAACACAGGCCUGAAGGAGAUGAAGUAGGGAUUCAUGGAGAUGUAUAAGAUGUAUGGGGGAGGAGUAUCCAAGACAGAGGAGAGCAAGUGCAAAGGUCUUAAGGCUAGAAUGCACCUGCCACACUUGCAGAGUGGCACAGAGGCCAGUGUGGUUGAAACAGAGCCAGUGAGGGAGAGAAGUAGAGGUGAGUUGGUUAGAAAGGUCAGAAAGGUCACUUAUAGGCUCUGAUAAGGACUUUGGCUUUUACUCUCAAGAAACCAAUAGAGGGUUUGAAGCCAAAGAAUUACAUGAUUUGACUUACUUUUAAAAGGAACAUUCUGACUCUGUUGUGGGGACACUAGUGUAUGUGAGAACAAGGAAGAUUAGAAGCAGGGGGUCUAGUGACAAGGCUACCUGUGGUGGCCCAGAGGACAGCUGGUGGUGGCUCAGAUUAGCACAGUAGCAGUAGAAGCGUCAGGAGCCUGGGCAUAUUUUUAAGAACCAACAGGAUUUACUGAUGCAUCAUAUGUGGGACACAAAAGUGUGAAGAGCAAAUGGGACGAUGGAGGUGGCCACUUACUGAGAGUGAAGACGGUGGUCUGACCAGAUUUGGCGUGGGCUUAAGGAAUUGGGAUUUAGAAAUGCCAAGUUUGAGAUGCCUAUUAGACAUGCAAGAAGAGACAUUGGAAUAGGAAAAUGGAUAUGCAAGUCUGGAUUUCAAUUUGGGGAAUCAUCUAUAUAUAAUUGAUUUUUAAAAUCAUGAGAUUGGAUGAGAUCAUCAAAGAUGUGAAUAUAAGUAGAAGAAGAAAUGAUCCAAGGACCUGGUCUUACCUCACCUCACUCUGGCCUUCUUUAUAUGGAGUAUAUAUCAUUAUCUGACAUGAUCACAUACAUGAAUUUGCUUAUCAGUUUGAUGUCUUUCUUUCCAAACUCAAGGCAAGAUCAUGCCAGUGGGGGCUGUGUUUGUUUUAUACACUGCUUUACCCAGCACCACAACUAUUUCUGAAAUAUGGUGUAGUCAAUAAAUAUUUUUUUAAUUAAUGAAUUUAAAAAUCUUGAGAUAACCCUCAAACUCAGCUUAAUUGACAAUCUCAACCUUCUUACUCCACAGCUUCCAAUAAAUGCUUAUGGGACUUGAAAAAUAAGUAGCAAAAUAUAUGAUUUUUAAUUUACUUUCCUAAUCAUUUCCCAGAAGGACAUGAAAAUAGUAGAAUUAUCUAAACACAAUAAAAAGGGAGAAAGCGGAAGAGGUGCUAAAGACAUAUUUUCAAGAACCAACAAGAUUUACUGAUGGAUUGUAUAUGAGAUAUAAAUGAGCAUGAAAAACAAAGAAUAGAGGUGGCCAUUUAUCAACAGAAUGAAGACUGUGGUACAAGAUGAUUUGGAUCGUGGAGCUGGGGAGUUGACUUAAUUUAGUCUAUGAGCACAAUUGCAAGUACAUUGUGCCCAAGGCCGUGUGCUGAGCAUAAGGAAUGGAGAGUAGAAGAAGACAUAGCCCCUAUCCUCAAGAACUUAUGAUUGGGAAGGAAUGAUAGAAAACACAGCAGAAGAAACUGAAGCCUACAGAAAAGCUUAUUGAAGGCCAUGCAAAUAAUAAUUGGUGAGGAUGGAUUUGAACCCAGAUCUGAUAGGCUCUAAUCUGUGUAUACCACAUUGUUCUGGCUCUUUCAAGGCUUGUGCUAUAGAAUCCCAGAACUAGAGAUGAACUGAGAGGUCAGGCAGGCUAAGCUUCUCAUUAAAGAAAUGUUCAUCCAACUUCUA